This 254-nucleotide ribosomal RNA is filed under the name uncultured bacterium. Its description in RNAcentral is "partial 16S ribosomal RNA". It matches the Rfam family "Bacterial small subunit ribosomal RNA", at positions 524 to 776 of the family's 1533-position model. The record is from RNAcentral.
UACGUAGGGGGCGAGCAUUGUCCGGAGUUACUGGGCGUAAAGCGCACGCAGGCGGUCUGUUAAGACCGAUGUGAAAUCCCCGGGCUUAACCUGGGAACUGCAUUGGUGACUGGCAGGCUUUGAGUGUGGCAGAGGGAGGUAGAAUUCCACGUGUAGCAGUGAAAUGCGUAGAGAUGUGGAGGAAUACCGAUGGCGAAGGCAGCCUCCUGGGCCAACACUGACGCUCAUGCACGCAAGCGUGGGGAGCAAACAGG